This 444-nucleotide ribosomal RNA is filed under the name uncultured bacterium. RNAcentral's name for it is "bacterial SSU rRNA". It matches the Rfam family "Bacterial small subunit ribosomal RNA", at positions 29 to 506 of the family's 1533-position model. The record is from RNAcentral.
ACGAACGCUGGCGGCAGGCUUAACACAUGCAAGUCGAGCGCCCCGCAAGGGGAGCGGCAGACGGGUGAGUAACGCGUGGGAAUCUACCUUUUGCUACGGAAUAGCUCCGGGAAACUGGAAUUAAUACCGUAUGUGCCCUUUGAUGGUGGACAUUUUAGGGGAAAGAUUUAUCGGCAAAGGAUGAGCCCGCGUUGGAUUAGCUAGUUGGUGGGGUAAAGGCCUACCAAGGCGACGAUCCAUAGCUGGUCUGAGAGGAUGAUCAGCCACAUUGGGACUGAGACACGGCCCAAACUCCUACGGGAGGCAGCAGUGGGGAAUAUUGGACAAUGGGCGCAGGCCUGAUCCAGCCAUGCCGCGUGUGUGAUGAAGGCCUUAGGGUUGUAAAGCACUUUCACCGGUGAAGAUAAUGACGGUAACCGGAGAAGAAGCCCCGGCUAACUUCGU